Non-coding RNA from Elaeis guineensis (African oil palm), 3160 nucleotides. NCBI's taxonomy places the organism in Eukaryota, Viridiplantae, Streptophyta, Magnoliopsida, Arecales, Arecaceae. The record is from RefSeq and is a predicted model, not a curated record.
UCCCUUCUUCCGUUUCUUUCCUCGAUAGACUGCCGUUAAACACUAGAACACACCGGUGUCUCCGACUGUCCGUAGAGGUCGGAGGUCGGCAUGAGCGGGGGUAGCCGCAGAACCGCCCGGAACCGGGUGAAGACCUCGCCGGCGGACCUCGACGCCGACGAAUCCCUUUGGAAUCGGGGACCGAUCCAUGGGACUCGAAAGCAGAGGAGCCGUGACCACGGCCCCAUCCGGUUGAUGGAUGUUAACGUCAAAACCCUUCUAGGACUAGGAUUUGGAUUCCUAGCCCUUCUGUUCGUUGCGUUCUUAGUGUACAAUUACCACAGGGGAUCCAAGGAAGAUGAUGCGGUUGAGAAGUUGAUGAGGACUGUCACGCCCUUGCCAGCUCCUAAGAUGAUGGAUCUUCCCCAGUUUGAAGGAGAGCACAAGGAGAGCUUGUAUUGGGGAACCUACCGACCCCAUUUGUACCUUGGAAUUCGCGCCAGAACACCGAGGUCAAUUAUUGCGGGAUUGAUGUGGAUUGGCAUAAAGAAUGGACAGUAUUUUCUCCGUCAUGCUUGCCAAGAUUCCGAUGAACUUAGCACAUAUGGAUGGACAGAUCACAAUGGUCGGGACUAUGGCCGUCAAGUGUUGGUCGAUCAUGGUAUGUCUAUAACAACUAGUUUCUUGAAAGAGAAAGACAAAGGCAGUGGUUAUGGAGGGGACUGGGCUGUUAGACUGGAUGUGCAGAAUAAGGAGUCAAUGUUAGAUGAGAGCACUGUACAUCUUUUUUUCUACAUCGGCGAUGAAGAAGGAAACUUGCUAGGCGUGCGUAGGCAGGAAUUUGGAUCUCAUGAUGCUACUCUUUUGGCAUUUGGGUCACACAAGGAUGUUGGCGGUUGGGAAGUCCAUUUAGAAUCACAAGAGCAUCUCGACAUGCACUUUUCUGGGUACAAAACUCUUCACAUGCACAAUUUAACUGAGCUGGUUCAGGCGACUCUUGCCGUCAAUGCAAGGAGAACCGGGAAUCUUCAGCUGCCAGAUACAUUAGAAGAUUCUUCAAAUAUAAUUGUUUAUCAGAUUUCUGGGAGGCUUCGAGCCAAAAUGGAUAUAGCUUUUGUAUCUGGAACUCAUGUACAGACUUCAAGAGUUGAAGAACGCGUCAAAUCCCUUACAGGAACCAUGUUGACUAGUAGGCUUGAGGCGAAACAAAAGGCUUUUGAAGAAAAGUAUGUUAGAUGCUUUGAUCUGAAGGAUAAGGUUGAUUCUGAAACAAUGAAUGUUGGGAAGGCUGCUAUGGCGAAUCUACUAGGGGGCAUUGGCUACUUCUAUGGCCAAUCCAAAAUUGCCCUGCCAAAAGGGUUCAGUCAAAAAAAUGGCGAUAAAUUCAUUUCUUAUUGGCCAGCUGCACUUUUUACAGCUGUUCCUAGCCGGUCAUUCUUUCCACGUGGUUUUCUAUGGGAUGAAGGUUUCCAUCAGUUGAUUAUUUGGCGCUGGGAUAUCAAUAUAUCCAUGGACAUUAUUGGUCAUUGGUUGGAUCUGAUCAAUUUAGAUGGAUGGAUUCCUCGUGAACAGAUCCUGGGAGCUGAAGCUUUAAGUAAGGUUCCUGAAGAAUUUGUUCUUCAACAUCCAUCUAAUGGGAAUCCACCAACUUUAUUUCUUAUUCUGCAAGACUUGGUGAAAGGUGUGAAGAUGAGCAAGUUUCCAAUGAAAGAAAUCAAUGAGAUUUCUACAUUCCUUGGUAGAGCUUAUACUCGCCUAGAUGCUUGGUUUCAAUGGUUUAAUACUACACAAUCUGGAAAGGAUAUCAACACCUUUUAUUGGCAUGGGAGGGACAAUACAACAACCAAGGAAUUAAAUCCAAAGACAUUGCAAUCUGGAUUGGAUGAUUAUCCACGUGCAUCCCACCCAGGUGAUGAAGAGCGUCACCUUGACAUUAGAUGUUGGAUGCUUCUUGCUGCAGAUUGCAUGCAUUCAAUUGCAAAGUUUACCAGCAUGAAAAAUGAUUUAGAAAAGGAUUAUUACAUGAUGUCUGAGCGACUUUCAAACUUUGAGAUCCUCAAUGAGAUGCAUUUAGAUGAGGUUUCUGGAGCUUAUUUUGAUUUUGGGAACCACACUGAGAAGGUUCGUCUGAGAUGGCAUGAAGUGAGAAGUGCAGAUACUGUGAAACGCGAGCUUGUUCGUGAGACAUUAGAAAGACCCCAGCUGUCAUUAGUUCCCCAUGUUGGUUAUGUCAGCCUUUUCCCUUUCAUGAUGGGGAUCAUUCCAUCUAAGAGUAUUCACAACUACAUUACAUGUUCAGACAUCAUGGAUCCUAGAAAAACAAUUGGAGCUCAUUUCUAACCGCUCAACUUUGUGGACAGACUAUGGUCUGCGUUCUCUUUCUAGAACAAGCUCAUUGUACAUGAAACGCAAUACAGAGCAUGAUCCACCUUAUUGGAGAGGCCCCAUUUGGAUAAACAUCAACUACAUGAUUCUUUCAGCACUCCACCAUUACUCACAAGUGGAUGGGCCAUACAAAGCCAGGGCAGAAACAUUAUAUCAGGAGCUAAGAUCAAACUUGAUACGAAAUAUUGUGCGGAACUACUAUGACACGGGGUUUUUGUGGGAGCAGUAUGACCAAAAGAACAAGGGAAAAGGUAAAGGUGCACGGAUAUUCACUGGUUGGACUUCGCUGGUUCUUUUGAUCAUGGCAGAGGCUUUUCCAAGCUUGCAUCGCUGAGUUCUUGGUAAUCCACAAAUGAAGGGAUCAUCUGGUUGAUUGUCGAAGGAUUGACUACUAUACUGGUGGUCUCCAAACCAAUUGCCGAGAGAUUCCUAUCUGCCUUGAGUCCAUUUACGUAAAAAUGCUACUUGCUACGAUGAAAAGCAGACAAGGUAUCCGAUAUGGGAUUUUCUGCAUCGUCUGAUGACCAUGUUCCAUCUUUAUGUCUGCAGGGUUAAUGAGUUCCAUUCUUCAUGCAACAAUUUUGUAUGGUUACAUUCUUGAAUUAUUAUAUAUGAACAGCUUUCCUGACAAAGAUGACAGCAAUAAGCAACAAAAUUUACCUGACAUUUAGGAUAUUUAUUGGUAGAACCGUAGAAGAAUGAAUUCAUUAGAAGUACAUGUAAUAUUUUUUGCUGCACAAAUUCUAUAAGCCACAGAGACCGAAUAUAAGAUAAAAAUUGGAACUGUGUAGUGAAA